RNAcentral lists this ribosomal RNA (406 nucleotides) under uncultured bacterium. RNAcentral's name for it is "partial 16S ribosomal RNA". It matches the Rfam family "Bacterial small subunit ribosomal RNA", at positions 29 to 526 of the family's 1533-position model. The record is from RNAcentral.
AUUGAACGCUGGCGGCAGGCCUAACACAUGCAAGUCGAACGAGUGGCGGACGGGUGAGUAAUGUCUGGGAAACUGCCCGAUGGAGGGGGAUAACUACUGGAAACGGUAGCUAAUACCGCAUACCAUCGGAUGUGCCCAGAUGGGAUUAGCUAGUAGGUGGGGUAAAGGCUGACCUAGGCGACGAUCCCUAGCUGGUCUGAGAGGAUGACAGUCCACACUGGAACUGAGAAACGGUCAAGAGUCCUCCGGGAGGCAGCAGUGGGGAAUAUUGCACAAUGGGUGCAAGCCUGAUGCAGCCAGGCCGCGUGUAUGAAGAAGGCCUCCGGGUUGUAAAGUACGUUCAGCGGGGAGGCGUUACCCGCAGAAGAAGCACCGGCUAACUACGUGCCAGCAGCCGCGGUAAUAC